CAGUAGCCGCGGUAAUACGUAGGUGGCAAGCGUUGUCCGGAAUUAUUGGGCGUAAAGGGCUCGCAGGCGGUUUCUUAAGUCUGAUGCGAAAGCCCCCGGCUCAACCGGGGAAGGUCAUUGGAAACUGGGAAACUUGAGUGCAGAAGAGGAGAGUGGAAUUCCACGUGUAGCGGUGAAAUGCGUAGAGAUGUGGAGGAACACCAGUGGCGAAGGCGACUCUCUGGUCUGUAACUGACGCUGAGGAGCGAAAGCGUGGGGAGCAAACAGGAUUAGAUACCCGCGUAGUCCCUGUCUCUUAUAC
Molecule: ribosomal RNA, 301 nt
Filed under: uncultured bacterium
Lineage: Bacteria
Description: partial 16S ribosomal RNA
Rfam family: Bacterial small subunit ribosomal RNA
Source: RNAcentral